CCUACGGGAGGCACCAGUGGGGAAUAUUGCACAAUGGGCGCAAGCCUGAUGCAGCCAUGCCGCGUGUAUGAAGAAGGCCUUCGGGUUGUAAAGUACUUUCAGCGAGGAGGAAGGCAUUAAGGUUAAUAACCUUGGUGAUUGACGUUACUCGCAGAAGGAGCACCGGCUAACUCCGUGCCAGCAGCCGCGGUAAUACGGAGGGUGCAAGCGUUAAUCGGAAUUACUGGGCGUAAAGCGCACGCAGGCGGUCUGUCAAGUCGGAUGUGAAAUCCCCGGGCUCAACCUGGGAACUGCAUUCGAAACUGGCAGGCUAGAGUCUUGUAGAGGGGGGUAGAAUUUCAGGUGUAGCGGUGAAAUGCGUAGAGAUCUGAAGGAAUACCAGUGGCGAAGGCGGCCCCCUGGACAAAGACUGACGCUCAGAUGCGAAAGCGUGGGGAGCAAACAGGAUUAGAUACCCCGGUAGUC
Molecule: ribosomal RNA, 465 nt
Filed under: uncultured bacterium
Lineage: Bacteria
Description: bacterial SSU rRNA
Rfam family: Bacterial small subunit ribosomal RNA
Source: RNAcentral